ACAGAAUUUUGACAAAAUUUCCUCUAAAAUACAAACUAAAACUACCUGAACAAUAACCAAUUUUUCUCAAAUCAAUACCUAUAAUAUAAAUCAGGGUAUACCAGACCCUCAAAAAUACAAACUAUUCAAAUAUAAUGCUAGGAAAUCAAUAUUUACUUGCUUUACAACCAAUAAUCUUCAAAAGUACUAAAGAUACCAAAUAUCUAAUGAGCCCAUAAUGAACUUUUCUGAUUUAACCUAUGUGUAUCCCAAAAGAACACAAUGUAUAAUCCGAUAAAAGAUGUCAUACAACCUAUGACGCAUGGCUCAAUUCGGUGGUUCGACAUGCUCCAAAACUGCUCAAUUUGUCUGUUUUCUGUCUGAUAAAGAAAAAAUGUGAAAAAAUAUAUGAGCUUAAAGCUCAGUGAGUGGAUAAUUUACAAAUAAACAUAUUUUUCUUUUAUGCAUAUAUUUUGAAAAUUCUUGCUCUAUCAAAACUUUGAAAAAUUCUAAAAUCUGGUAACACUUUUAAAACUAAACAUAAUUUCAUCAUAAAAUUCUUUGUUCUAAAUUCUAGAUAAGUAUAUGUAAGGUAUAACAAUUAUAAAGAAUCUGAUAUUCAUGAAAAUCUAUGAAAUAUUGCUGCUGCUCUAUACUAGAAGCUGAACGCUUUAUUCUGAAAACUGAAUUCCAUAAUCUGAAAUCUAAGAACUGAAUAAGUUCUGAAAAAUCACACCAUAAAGAGUACCCAAUUAAUAGCCUUACACAUGCAUAGAGUAAUCUCGAUGUACAAGGCAAAGACAUUCAAAUCUGAUAAUCUGAUAGCUGAUAAUCUGGUCAUACGUACGCAGAGCUGCCCCAAAGGCUAAUCACCUUAGUACACGGCCCAAAGCCUAUGUGUGUACGAGAGUGGGUCCCAAAGACCUCUGAUAUUCUGGUCAUACACUAUGGAAACACAUUCACGAUAGUGCAGAGCGGGUAAAAUCACUAUAACUAAUCAUACACUGUGGAAACACAUUCACAUCAGUGCAAACUGGGGUAAAAUCACCUGGGUACUUUCUGGUGGUUUUUAGAAAUAACUUUAACUGUACUGAAACAUGUAAUAAGAAUAUAACAAGCUUUCAAAAUAAUUUAACUGAACUGAAUUUAACUAUAAAAGCAAUUGAUAAUAAAAUCCAUUUUAUUCUGAAAAUAAUGCUAUGAAGUCAACUUUAUAAAAUAAAUAACUUUAAAAUUUAAAGAAGACUUAUUUCUGAAAAAUAAGUUUUAUCCACUCACUCUAAACAAGCUACUGGUUAUGAUGGUCGACAAGUUUUUCCCAUCUCUUUGCCACCACCUGAAAGACAAUGUAAAAUAACUAAUUUAACCACUAUCCUGCUAAGUAGUAGUUCUAAAUAUUGAUGAUCGAAUCUAAAACUUGAUUUCUCGAUACUUGAAUAAUUUUCCCCCAAUUUCCCUUAAUCACUUUAAGCUAAUUCCUCACAAUAACCUUUAUUCUAAUCAUGAGAAUAACUACCCCAUCUUCCAAUCUAGCAAAACUAAUAACCAUAAUUCAACCAAUUAAAUUUACAUUUUGUUCCAUAAAACCAUUCUUCCAAGUGAAUAUUUCGUGAUAACUAUCAUUUUCCCAAACUACCUUUACUCUAGAAUCUAAUUAAAAUUCUAGGGUUUAACAAAAAUGGUAUAACUUAGCUUGUAUAUACACAACCCCUAUAAAUAAUUCCAAUACAUAGGCUUUAACAUUUGUCAUAUAUCUUCAUUCAAACCUUUAGAAUCUGAAAAUCAAAUGUUUGACAAAAACGGCACUAAAGUUCCACAAUAUUGAAUUACGACACCAAAUUCUGUAUAUUGAAAACUGUCACCAAAAUAUGGACAGAAUUAACACUUUUCUGGGAAAAUUUCGAAAAUAGCACCUUCAUUACAUAAUCCGAAAAUUUCUUUAGGAAAAUGGAGAAUUUCAACAUCAAAUCCUUAAUUUAAGUGUUUAACAUCAUAUAAUCCCAAGAAUUUCAAAGAAUGUGUAUUUCUUUCACAACCCAUCUCAAAUUCCACUUUCUUCAACACUAAUUGACAAUUAAAUAUUUCUUUGCCAUAAUUUAGUUAUAACCUGAAAUACAUAUUCAUAAUCUUUAAUUCUUGUCAAACUUUAAACAUGAGUAAUUGUUUACAAACCUUAAAUUUAAGAAUUAUUUCCCAUAAAUACAUCUUUUACUUACCUGAAGAAAUUAAGGAAUAACUUUAAGGACCAUCUUGGUAGUGCCAUCAUUUUUUUUUUCUUCCUCUUCCUUUUCUUUCUUCUUCUCUUUUUUUCUUUCUUUUGUCGGUUUUUCUCCCUGUUUCUGCCCCCGUUUCCAGCUUCUUUAUGUGUAUGUACGUAUUAUGAAAAAU
This 2367-nucleotide long non-coding RNA is filed under the name Olea europaea (common olive). Its description in RNAcentral is "long non-coding RNA (OEUR_LNC000876)". The record is from RNAcentral. Lineage: Eukaryota; Viridiplantae; Streptophyta; Magnoliopsida; Lamiales; Oleaceae.